Oncorhynchus tshawytscha (Chinook salmon) is the source of this 1112-nucleotide long non-coding RNA. Lineage: Eukaryota; Metazoa; Chordata; Actinopteri; Salmoniformes; Salmonidae. The record is from Ensembl.
AGCCAGUAUACUGUAUACCAUGUUGAAAUACACAGGUGUAGCCAGCCAGUAUACCAUGUUGAAAUACACAGAUGUAUCCAGCCAGUAUACCACGUUGAAAUACACAGGUGUAGCCAGCCAGUAUACUGUAUACCACGUUGAAAUACACAGGUGUAUCCAGCCAGUAUACUGUAUACUAUGUUGAAAUACACAGGCGUAUCCAGCCAGUAUACCACGUUGAAAUACACAGGUGUAUCCAGCCAGUAUACCAUGUUGAAAUACACAGGUGUAUCCAGCCAGUAUACCAUGUUGAAAUACACAGGUGUAUCCAGCCAGUAUACCAUGUUGAAAUACACAGGUGUAUCCAGCCAGUAUACCAUGUUGAAAUACACAGGUGUAUCCAGCCAGUAUACCAUGUUGAAAUACACAGGUGUAUCCAGCCAGUAUACCAUGUUGAAAUACACAGGUGUAUCCAGCCAGUAUACUGUAUACCACGUUGAAAUACACAGUCGUAUCCAGCCAGUGUACAGUAUACCAUGUUGAAAUACACAGGUGUAGCCAGCCAGUAUACCACGUUGAAAUACACAGGCGUAUCCAGCCAGUAUACUGUAUACCAUGUUGAAAUACACAGGCGUAUCCAGCCAGUAUACUGUAUACCAUGUUGAAAUACACAGGCGUAUCCAGCCAGUAUACUGUAUACCAUGUUGAAAUACACAGGUGUAGUACUAUUCUAGGAUUUGUUCAUUACCAAGUUGGAACAUAUUUUUAUUGCAUAUUAUAAUGCUUGUUGUUGUUGUUGUUGUUGUAUAUCCUCUGCCUUGACGAUGGAAGUAUCCGGUUGAUCCGAUUCGAGGUGACGCUGGCGUCAUGAAAUAAAAGCACAUAUAUAUACUUUAUGAAAUAAUGUUUACACUCCUGUUGUUUAUUAAAAAUAAAAUUUAAAAAGGCAUUGUUAAUUCAAAUGUCUGUAUUUCAAUAUACUUAUUUUAUACCGUUUUAUAAGUGACAUAUAUAUAUAUAUAUUGUGUAUGAAAAGCCUUGUAAUUGUUGUAAUCACUUGAUGUGAUUUUUGUGCAUUUGACAUCAGUGUCUCGUUGUAUUUUUUUCAAUAUUAAAAGGACCCAGAGCAGUCA